Molecule: long non-coding RNA, 331 nt
Organism: Etheostoma cragini (Arkansas darter)
Lineage: Eukaryota; Metazoa; Chordata; Actinopteri; Perciformes; Percidae
Exons: 3
Source: RefSeq, a predicted model, not a curated record
UCUGCGUUGCACUGACGUCACCUAUCCUCGCCUGCCGGUCUUUAUUUGUUCCUCGUCGCGUUUCAUCGUUCCUGGUUAUUAUUCUGCUUUAAAUCCAGAUUUCGGCUCCGCGAGCAGCCGUUUUUAACCGCACGUGGUGUUCGUGAGAGCAGGAUGGGUCCAGUAGAGCUCCUCCACAUGUCCGUCUUCUCCCAGAGUUUCUCCCCGUGCGGACGCUACCUGGCGGCGGGAAACAACUACGGAGAGAUCGCUCUGUUCAGCCUGUCUGCAGCUCUGAGUCCGGACGCCACCGCGCUGAGUCAGAAACCGGUCCUCACCUUCACAGGUGAGU